AGACAACGAUGGGUCUACCCACAUGCUGAAAGAUGGAGUAAAAGGAGAUCAUGAAGAUUUCAGUGAUACCAUACUCCCUGCAGGAGGAGGGACUAAGAGGGUUACAGAACAGAUUUACAAGCCCUGGAGAGAUAACAAGGUGAAUGCACCUUUGCAGUCAUUAAUCCAUAACUGCCUUCACAUCUGCUGUCUCUCACUGAAACUUGGGCAAGGACAGUUUGAGUCACUGUGAUACCAGUAACAGUCACUCCUUUUCAGAGAAGGAAGUGCUAAUAAGAGCUCACUUGAGGCACAACAGCUUAGCAGAAAUGAAGGCCAGAAAGCAGACACAUAAUUGCUGUGAGUGAGAAUAGAGAAGCCAAAAAGAACAUGUGAGAAGUUUCCCUUGUGAGCAGUGCUCUGUGAGUGAUGCACAUCAGCAGUCACACUACUGUCUGAGACGGGAGCUACCCAACAUCCAGGACUGCCCCAGGGAUCCUGCUUCCCCUCCCAAAGCAGCUCACUUGGAGCUGGGGAUGGGUCCAUGGUUGCAGCAUGGGAGAGGAGAGAUAGAAAGGAGAGACAGCCCUGGGAAAAGGAAAUGCCUGAGAAAUAUCACAGAUGCUGGUAGGAAUUCCACAUGGAGACAGUCCAUCGCACGCUCCGCAGAUACAUGAGCUCUGACAACCCAUCCUGCUCAUCCAGGGGAAAUCUCAAGUGGCAUUUCAAAGCAGAGCACCCUCAGGCUCUCGGGAACUCUCCUGGAAAAAUAUCAGGGCAUUUGCUUCCAC
Molecule: long non-coding RNA, 770 nt
Filed under: Chloebia gouldiae (Gouldian finch)
Lineage: Eukaryota; Metazoa; Chordata; Aves; Passeriformes; Passeridae
Description: Erythrura gouldiae (Gouldian finch) lncRNA (ENSEGOG00005002979.1)
Source: RNAcentral